AUUGAACGCUGGCGGAAUGCUUAACACAUGCAAGUCGAACGGCAGCACGGACUUCGGUCUGAUGGCGAGUGGCGAACGGGUGAGUAAUGUAUCGGAACGUGCCCAGUCGUGGGGGAUAACGUAGUGAAAAUUACGCUAAUACCGCAUACGAUCUAUGGAUGAAAGCGGGGGAUCGCAAGACCUCGCGCGAUUGGAGCGGCCGAUAUCAGAUUAGGUAGUUGGUGGGGUAAAGGCCCACCAAGCCAACGAUCUGUAGCUGGUCUGAGGGGACGACCAGCCACACUGGAACUGAGACACGGUCCAGACUCCUACGGGAGGCAGCAGUGGGGAAUUUUGGACAAUGGGCGAAAGCCUGAUCCAGCCAUUCCGCGUGCAGGAUGAAGGCCCUCGGGUUGUAAACUGCUUUUGUACAGAACGAAAAGGUUUCUACUAAUACUAGGAGCUCAUGACGGUACUGUAAGAAUAAGCACCGGCUAACUACGUGCCAGCCGCCGCCGUAA
RNAcentral lists this ribosomal RNA (500 nucleotides) under uncultured bacterium. Its description in RNAcentral is "partial 16S ribosomal RNA". It matches the Rfam family "Bacterial small subunit ribosomal RNA", at positions 30 to 523 of the family's 1533-position model. The record is from RNAcentral.